UACGUAGGUCCCGAGCGUUGUCCGGAUUUAUUGGGCGUAAAGCGAGCGCAGGCGGUUAGAUAAGUCUGAAGUUAAAGGCUGUGGCUUAACCAUAGUACGCUUUGGAAACUGUUUAACUUGAGUGCAAGAGGGGAGAGUGGAAUUCCAUGUGUAGCGGUGAAAUGCGUAGAUAUAUGGAGGAACACCGGUGGCGAAAGCGGCUCUCUGGCUUGUAACUGACGCUGAGGCUCGGAAAGCGUGGGGAGCAACAGGAUUAGAUACCCGUAGUCC
RNAcentral lists this ribosomal RNA (270 nucleotides) under uncultured bacterium. RNAcentral describes it as "partial 16S ribosomal RNA". It matches the Rfam family "Bacterial small subunit ribosomal RNA", at positions 524 to 796 of the family's 1533-position model. The record is from RNAcentral.